UACGUAGGGACCGAGCGUUGUCCGGAAUCAUUGGGCGUAAAGAGCGUGUAGGCGGCCACUUAAGUCCUGCGUGAAAUCUUGCGGCUCAACCGCAAGCGGUCGUGGGAAACUGGGUGGCUAGAGUGCGGGAGAGGAGAGUGGAAUUCCUGGUGUAGCGGUGGAAUGCGCAGAUAUCAGGAAGAACACCAGUGGCGAAGGCGGCUCACUGGCCCGGUACUGACGCUGAGGCGCGAAAGCGUGGGGAGCAAACAGG
This 253-nucleotide ribosomal RNA is filed under the name uncultured bacterium. RNAcentral's name for it is "partial 16S ribosomal RNA". It matches the Rfam family "Bacterial small subunit ribosomal RNA", at positions 524 to 776 of the family's 1533-position model. The record is from RNAcentral.